GAAUGAUGGUGACCCAAACCCUCACCAGAGUAGCAAUUGGAGGGCAAGUCUGGUGCCAGCAGCCGCGGUAAUUCCAGCUCCAAUAGCGUAUAUUAAACUUGUUGCAGUUAAAAAGCUCGUAGUUGAAUUUUAGCGUGUUCGAGUUUGCCAUUCGUUUGGCUUUUUCGAGUUCGCUUUUGGGUUUUCCCUUUUUACUUUGAGAAAAUWAGAGUGUUUCAAGCARACUUUUGUCUUGAAWACUUCAGCAUGGAAUAAUAGAGUAGGACUUUGG
Molecule: ribosomal RNA, 271 nt
Filed under: Babesia vogeli
Lineage: Eukaryota; Apicomplexa; Aconoidasida; Piroplasmida; Babesiidae
Description: partial small subunit ribosomal RNA
Source: RNAcentral